UCCCAUAGAUGUUACGGUGUUAUUUAUAUUAUGCACUUGCACUAUAUUGCAGAUGGAUCAGUGGAAGACAAUGCGAUGAGGAAGACUGGAGAUGAAUCACUAUUUGCUAUAAAUGAACCUAGUUCAGUAAUGAGGAAGCAUACAAUACGGAAAAGACAAUUAGGUGGAUUGUUUCUACCCGGGGCACACGCACAAGCCAGCGCCAUCAAUCAUCGACCCGGCCUCGGACUUGGGCUUGGACUAGGACCAAGACUAUCCCACGUGGGAGGCGACUCACUUUUCGGCAGGAUUCCAGGCGUUGGACUAGGGGGACUUUCUGCAGCAAACUCCGCAUCUGCGCAGGGACUCCAUCUGGGUCCAGGAGGAAUUUCGGCUGCGUCAGCACAAACCGGAAGUCAAGGGUUGUCUUUCGGAAAUCAUCGUAUCAACAUCGCUCAUAGCAAUGACUUUUCGAUUGAAAACGGCAGACCGAGGUUACUGCGAGGAAGUUCGAUAAGUAUUGUUUGAUCUCAACUUUAGGCAACAAAUCUUAGAAAAUUGUUCAAUUUAAUUAUUUAAUGUCAUACCACA
This is a long non-coding RNA of Aedes albopictus (Asian tiger mosquito), 570 nucleotides long. RefSeq lists it as uncharacterized. NCBI's taxonomy places the organism in Eukaryota, Metazoa, Arthropoda, Insecta, Diptera, Culicidae. The transcript has 3 exons. The record is from RefSeq and is a predicted model, not a curated record.